GGCUGAUAUCCCUCAUAUUUUCCUUUCUUCUCCAAGGGCUCAGAUUCAGUCUCUGUAGGCACCAUAACUUUGUCCCCUAGAAGCUCCUCCAAGAUGAAGACAGUUUCCCAGUUGCUAUAGUGACGAGCUGGGAAAAUAUCUGAGUGCAUGCUGUCACCAAAAUAAACAACCUUGGGGUCCAACUUUCCAGUCAUCUUCUUCAGUAGUUCAUAAAGAUGGAUAGCAUUACCUUGGG
This 235-nucleotide long non-coding RNA is filed under the name Gallus gallus (chicken). The record is from RNAcentral. Lineage: Eukaryota; Metazoa; Chordata; Aves; Galliformes; Phasianidae.